This 375-nucleotide ribosomal RNA is filed under the name uncultured bacterium. RNAcentral's name for it is "bacterial SSU rRNA". It matches the Rfam family "Bacterial small subunit ribosomal RNA", at positions 132 to 507 of the family's 1533-position model. The record is from RNAcentral.
UAUACAGGAGAUAGCCGUAGGAACCUGUACUUAACCCUUCAUAGUAUUAUUGGAUGGCAUCAUUUGAUAGUUAAAACUGAGGUGGUAUAGGAUGGGCAUGCGUCUGAUUAGUUAGUUGGCGGGGUAAUGGCCCACCAAGACGAUGAUCAGUAGGGGUUCUGAGAGGAAGAUCCCCCACACUGGCACUGAGAUACGGGCCAGACUCCUACGGGAGGCAGCAGUAGGGAAUAUUGGUCAAUGGAUGCAAGUCUGAACCAGCCAUGCCGCGUGCAGGAAGAAGGCCUUCUGGGUUGUAAACUGCUUUUGCCAGGGGAUAAAAUUUCCAUGCGUGGAAAACUGAAGGUACCUGGUGAAUAAGCCACGGCUAACUACGUG